AAAUCAUUAUGGUUUAUUAAGAAUGCCUGGAUUUAUGAUUUAUGGGUUGUGGUAAUAUGUGUCCCUGUAGAGAAAGCUACCAAAUUUUUGGGAUGCUUAACCAGGAGACAUGGUGAGCUAGCAGCCCCACCCUUUGUAAGUCCUGCCCACAUUAUAUAACCACGUCCCCUCAAUCACUCUCCCCUGCACAACAAAAGAAUGAAAGACUACUGUUGAUAUGGUUCUUGGUGAGCAGGUAUCCUGUCGAGCCAAUAUUGUGGGCAUUUGGGGUUUUGAUAGUAUUGUAUUCUGAAUAAAUUGCCUUUGUGCAUGGAAAGCAUGCAUAAAAUGUCUCCUUGAAAUCUGGAUAUUGUACUUGCUGAAAUCGGUACAUAUCUGCUUCAGUUUUUGGGGUGUUCUAUGGACCUUUCCGAGUCGGGACUCAAUAAGAGUUGUGGGCCCAUUAUAACUGUGUAGGCUGGUGGUGGUUGGAGAGGGGGAAACAUUUCAGAGUGGAGUGAGUCAAUAAUAGCUUACCCACCCAGCCCUAUGUUUCAUGCAUGUUAUGUUUGUCAUGUGUGUCAUGUGUGCUCACACAGGUCCACUACAUGCUGCAAAACCCCAUGCCACAAGACAGCACGAACAUAUUAAAUAUCAACCAAAUGAUUGAAAAUGGCUGCUAUACUGCAGCCUAUCCACUGCAUGACGUAAGUUGUUGGGGGGGUAGGGGGUGGAGGGCACACUGACACCCUACGGGAGGCCCAGGUACGACACCUGAAUUGCACACCUGUAUAGGACGCUAUAGCAUAGUCUAAAGCUUACCACAUACUUAACAUUAGUGUCCCACAGAGAUGCGCCGCAUAGGUGUCCAGGUUCCCCAGCUCACUAAACACACCUCUGAUUUGCAUGGUUGGCUACAUACGGUGCAAAAGAAGUUCAAUAUCCAUGCAUUGGAAAGGACUCCACGAGCACUCUAGAGAGCCAUUCUCAAGGGUAUUUGGCCGACUAUUUCACGUGGGACAGAAGUCUUUGGAAGAAUUAGAAGUACCCACACUUCAUCCCACAACACGUGAACAACCAAUAGAUUAACUGUGGGUGCACCCAUUUACACUGCUUGCUGGGAAGAAGCAGCGUGAUUAAGAAACGUGGUCAUUGUUUUAACUGUCGUUCCCAUGAAAUCAAAUGGGCGACCUCUAACUUUGCAAGUCCAGUGCAGUGUGCAACACCAUUACACCACAGCAGCGCCACGGCAGAGUUUUGGGGGGGUGGAGCUGGUAAUUUGUGAAUGUCCAUGCAGUGUUUGUGACUAACAAUUGCUUUCCCCAUGUCAGAGUGAGUCUGUUCAUCCCACCAAAAACCCGAACACGCUGGGCGACCGCAACACGCUGCGACGGGAGUGGGCGAGAGCCGGGCGCUCUUUCAAGGAGCAGCCUCUUGACCUUGUGCGGUAAGUUCAUGCCCUAUCCACUGCUGGAUGAAGACUUCCCCAAGCCUUCGCCAUCUCUCCCAGUCUCCUGAUGCAACGAUCCAUGUGGCUCCUGCACACAUGCUGAUUUCAUUACUUAAAUCUCUGUGGUGCACAUCCUCUCAGACGCAUUCCUUCUCUUGACUGCCACAUCAUUCUUAGUCUCGACCACAGGCCAUCGUACCUCUUAGGGACGUGCCCUGUCCAGAAAGGUCCUAAGGCUGGACUUGAAUGCUAGCUGGGAGUUGAUAGCACAGACGGCUGGGGAAAUGGAGUUCCAGAAUAGCAUUUGCCCAUGCCUUCCCUGCUCUUCACAUUUCCCUCCAGCCCAUGGUCCUUGCUUACAUAUUCGAUAGCUACACCACUGGUGCCAUGUGCGGUUGGUGAUGUUUGCGCUGUGUGUGCGAGUGAUGUUGUCGGCACAGGUCAUACUUCGGGGAGCAAGUGGGGCUCUAUUUUGCAUGGCUCGGCUUCUACACAAAGAUGCUGAUCUUCGCUGCAAUCGUCGGCCUGAUCUCCUUUUUCUUUGGAGUAUUCAGCAAUGACCGUGACAUCACUAGUGGAGAAAUAUGCAACAACACCAUCGGAGGAUCCCUGGUCAUGUGUCCCCAGUGUGACCAAAAAUGCACCUUUUGGAGGCUAAAUGAUACCUGCGAGACUGCGAAGACUUCACACAUGUAUGAAAAUCCGGUCACCAUAUUCUUCGCAGUUUUCAUGGGACUUUGGGCCACGGUGUUCCUGGAAUUUUGGAAGCGUCGCCAGGCAUCGCUCGCAUACCGCUGGGACUUGACGGCAGCGGCGGAGGAAGGAGACCCCAUCCGGCCCGAGUACCUGGCUCGCUGCACGACCACGAAAUGUAACAUCAUCACCAUGAAGGAGGAGCCUCAUAUGCCUAAGAGGAUACUGAGGUUCCGAUACUGCCUCUCCGGGAUCAUGGUGUUGUUCUGGAUCCUCCUGAUUCUUGCUGCAAUUUUGGGUGUGGUUGUUUACCGCCUGUCCAUCUUUGGCAUACUCUCCUCGAGUAUCCCCAAUCAUGUGACCAAGAUCAAGGUGAUCGGUGCCCUACUCACACCUGAUAUGGUUACCACCAUCACGGCCUCCAUCCUCAACAUCGUAAUCAUAUUACUACUCAACAAAGGUUACGACAAGCUGGCCCUCGUCCUCACUGAUCUGGAGAUGCCCAAGACGCAAGGAGAAUAUGAGUAUCGGCUGACGUUCAAGAAAUUCUUAUUUCAGUUCGUCAACUUCUACUCGGCGUCUUUCUACAUUGCAUUUUUCAAGGGGAAAUUCAUCGGCUUCCCCGGAAGCUACACUUACUUUGGAAAAUGGAGAAUCGAGGAGUGUCCCCCAAACGGCUGUCUCUUUGAACUGACUUCUCAACUCACUGUCAUCAUGGUAGUGAAGCAGAUGGUUGGCAAUUUUCAGGAGGUCAUCAUCCCAUGGUUCAGCAAUUGGUGGGCCCAGCGUCGGGCCAAGCUAAGGCCUGAGGCUGUCUACACGCGCUGGGAGCAAGACAUGGACCUACAGCCCCAGAGCCCACUUGGACUCUUUGAUGAAUACCUCGAGAUGGGUACAAUGAGCUCAGAGGAUCACACUACGGAGUCAACGCGUUUUACUUUAUUAUAAAAAAACACACACAAUUGGGUAUCAUUUGACUAUAUAGGCACGUGUGUACGGCCCCUGUGUAUCUGUCGGACAUUGUUGUGGGAGGGAAAUUACCCACACUUCGGGUUGUUGAAGGCAGGGAGCACAGAUGUAAGAGCUUAGAUGUACAAUACAACAAUGUAAUUUGCUGCACUGUCCUCUGCUGCUCACAACCCCACAACAACUGUUGCAUGGUCACCCAUCCAACCAAUUUCCAGGCUCAGCUCUCCUUAACUUCUGGGAUCUGAUUAAAUCUGAUGCAUACUGGGUGAUUUGGCCAUAGGCACCAAUCUAUGGAUAUACUGUAACACAAUUGUCUUUGAGCAUGCGCGUAUGUGCAUAUGUACGGAGUUAAGUUUUAGAAACAAUAGGAGCACAUAUUUACUCCUCUUGUCUGCUAACCAAUGCAGCUACAUUGGUCAGCUUGGGUUGACGUUUCUCCCCAUAAUAUAUAUUUAAAACUCUGGUGCAUCAUGUCCACUGUGGUUAACUGCUGUGAUUUGUUGGCAUUUCAAUCACAGUGCAUAUGCCUAAAAAUGUGUGGUACGGUUAAUGGAGUCCUCAAUACAGGGUGUGAUCUUGUCAUUAUAGCCACCUAGUGGUGGAAAAUGCUGCAAAAGAAACCCAGGUGAACCAGAGCUGAGCAUUAAAGAUGGUAGUGGCUGGUCGCAUCUCAGUGGCCAAUGUAAUGGACACGAUAAUUUUGUGAACAAAUUAUACGAAAAUGUGAUCAUAUUUUGGGGUCUCCUUUGACUAAAACACAUUCAAUGCAUUGAAAACAUGUUUUGUUUGCUUAAAGUAAUCACAACAUAACAGCAUUAAGAGUCUAUGUCUAUAUCCUGUUUCACUCAUUAUUCUAUCCUUGCCCCCCUACCCAUUCUCAAAAUAUACCCCAGUUAUCCAAUUCGGGUUUGUCACUCUCUUUGUGGCAUCAUUUCCACUUGCGCCAUUGCUCGCACUGCUCAACAACAUCAUUGAAGUGCGGGUCGACGCGUGGAAGCUCGUAACAAAGAUGAGGAGGCCUGUGGUUUCGCGAGCAAGAGGAAUUGGAGCCUGGGCCGACAUUCUGAGUAUCGUUGCCACCCUCUCCGUAAUCACCAAUUCAUGCAUCUUGGCGUUCACAACGGACAUCAUCCCACGCCUGGUGUAUUAUUAUGGAUACUCAGCAGAGUAUGGAACAGGUUCGCCUACAAUGCAUGGGUACACGGAGGACAGCCUUUCAAUUUUCAAGAUCAGCGACUUCAAGGAGCAAAAUCAUCCCAACAUCCUGCCAGCCUGGUUUGAUCCGGCAAUACACACAACCUGCAGGUUUGUGCCAUUCAGUGUCAUGCCCAGCUAUCGGGGGUGCCGUCCCUGCGAAUGUGAUGCACUGAUCUCUGGGUGUGUUGUCCAGGUAGAUGCGACAUCCUUC
Molecule: non-coding RNA, 4499 nt
Organism: Petromyzon marinus (sea lamprey)
Lineage: Eukaryota; Metazoa; Chordata; Hyperoartia; Petromyzontiformes; Petromyzontidae
Source: RefSeq, a predicted model, not a curated record